CUCCCAACAGCGCCGACGCGAGGCGUUUGCACCUGCGGCCCCCGGACCCGUGCCUGCGCAGGCGUACACCUCCCACGUGACACCGGGAUCCAGCCAGUGGUUCGCCGUUGCGCGGGGUGGCCGGACGAGCACGCCGCCCUGCUCAGGGACCCGAGGGUGGCGUCGGGAGCCAAGGCUUGCCUCCCCUGCGUGUCUCUGCCAGUCGUGCGUGGACAACCCUGUCCGCUGUCUUCGCACGCGUGGACCCUGUCUCACCCCAAGUACCCACAGGCCCCGACCCCUGUCCUCAGCACAGAUGGGGACUUCAUGAGAGCCCAGGCCAGUAAUAGCCACGGCCUGCGUCCCCCCUUCCCAUGCUGACGUUGCCGCCUUGCCUGUUCCCAGAUGGUACCUCCUCCCAUCGGCUCUCCUGUUAGAAGCCUGAGGGGCCAGCAUCCCUCCCUCUGGGCCUGGCCUCUUGCUCCCGUCUGGGGCUUUCGCGACCUUCCCGAGGCCUCCUCAGCUCCUUCCUGCUGGGAAAGACUUGUCCCCACUGCACUACCAGGGAAAGUGCUCCCCAAACCUGCCCUCAACCAGUCACAGGUGAGGCCCAGGCCAGAGAGACGGGCCCCAGGACUGAACCGCUUGUUGGCCCCAGGAGGGCUAUGACGUAUGUGCUGUGAGAAGGCAGAGGAUUCUACAGAAGGCGGCCCCCCGGGAUCCACACUGCAGCCGACUUCUCAGGAAACAGGACUGAAGGCUAUAUCUUUCCAUUUGUGAUAACAUGGACAGCGGGGGAAACACCCUGAGAAAGGAAAUCGUGUGUGUCCGUUUGUGCAGAUCCACAACUGUGCUCUGACGCAGCAUGUCAGUGACCAUGGCAAACACGCUUCUGCCAACCUUCCACUGACUUCUUGGAACACGGAAAACUUCCAAAAUAAUCACCAGCUUCUUUCUGGCUGA
Long non-coding RNA from Suricata suricatta (meerkat), 942 nucleotides. RefSeq lists it as uncharacterized. The record is from RefSeq and is a predicted model, not a curated record. The transcript has 2 exons. NCBI's taxonomy places the organism in Eukaryota, Metazoa, Chordata, Mammalia, Carnivora, Herpestidae.